AUAAUGCAAGUCGAGCGAACUGAUUAGAAGCUUGCUUCUAUGACGUUAGCGGCGGACGGGUGAGUAACACGUGGGCAACCUGCCUGUAAGACUGGGAUAACUUCGGGAAACCGAAGCUAAUACCGGAUAGGAUCUUCUCCUUCAUGGGAGAUGAUUGAAAGAUGGUUUCGGCUAUCACUUACAGAUGGGCCCGCGGUGCAUUAGCUAGUUGGUGAGGUAACGGCUCACCAAGGCAACGAUGCAUAGCCGACCUGAGAGGGUGAUCGGCCACACUGGGACUGAGACACGGCCCAGACUCCUACGGGAGGCAGCAGUAGGGAAUCUUCCGCAAUGGACGAAAGUCUGACGGAGCAACGCCGCGUGAGUGAUGAAGGCUUUCGGGUCGUAAAACUCUGUUGUUAGGGAAGAACAAGUACGAGAGUAACUGCUCGUACCUUGACGGUACCUAACCAGAAAGCCACGGCUAACUACGUGCCAGCAGCCGCGGUAAUACGUAGGUGGCAAGCGUUAUCCGGAAUUAUUGGGCGUAAAGCGCGCGCAGGCGGUUUCUUAAGUCUGAUGUGAAAGCCCACGGCUCAACCGUGGAGGGUCAUUGGAAACUGGGGAACUUGAGUGCAGAAGAGAAAAGCGGAAUUCCACGUGUAGCGGUGAAAUGCGUAGAGAUGUGGAGGAACACCAGUGGCGAAGGCGGCUUUUUGGUCUGUAACUGACGCUGAGGCGCG
RNAcentral lists this ribosomal RNA (722 nucleotides) under Priestia megaterium. RNAcentral's name for it is "bacterial SSU rRNA". It matches the Rfam family "Bacterial small subunit ribosomal RNA", at positions 51 to 755 of the family's 1533-position model. Lineage: Bacteria; Bacillati; Bacillota; Bacilli; Caryophanales; Bacillaceae. The record is from RNAcentral.